AUCAGGUUGUCCUUGGAGAUGACUGGAUGCUCCUGAUGGCAGUAAGACUCCUCAAGGGACAGGCAGAGCAAUGAGCCUGACAAUGGAUCUCACGGAACAGUAAACUGCUCAGUUCUGCUGGCUAUGCCCCAGUGCUGGUGCCUACAACUUCACAGUGCCACUGUGAGCAGUUGCUGUUGAGGGUCUUGAUCAAUGAAACAUUAAAAAGCAAAAGUAAUCCACAUAUCAUCACUUCAUGGAAUUGUCCGAGCCCCA
Molecule: long non-coding RNA, 255 nt
Filed under: Rattus norvegicus (Norway rat)
Lineage: Eukaryota; Metazoa; Chordata; Mammalia; Rodentia; Muridae
Description: long non-coding RNA NONRATT033410
Source: RNAcentral